This 241-nucleotide ribosomal RNA is filed under the name uncultured bacterium. RNAcentral's name for it is "partial 16S ribosomal RNA". It matches the Rfam family "Bacterial small subunit ribosomal RNA", at positions 640 to 879 of the family's 1533-position model. The record is from RNAcentral.
GCUAGAGUGCGGUAGGGGCAGAGGGAAUUCCCGGUGUAGCGGUGAAAUGCGUAGAUAUCGGGAAGAACACCAGUGGCGAAGGCGCUCUGCUGGGCCGCAACUGACACUGAGGGACGAAAGCUAGGGGAGCGAAUGGGAUUAGAUACCCCAGUAGUCCUAGCCGUAAACGAUGGAUACUAGGCGUUGCCCGUAUCGACCCGGGCAGUGUCGUAGCUAACGCGUUAAGUAUCCCGCCUGGGAG